RNAcentral lists this ribosomal RNA (468 nucleotides) under uncultured bacterium. RNAcentral's name for it is "partial 16S ribosomal RNA". It matches the Rfam family "Bacterial small subunit ribosomal RNA", at positions 28 to 507 of the family's 1533-position model. The record is from RNAcentral.
GACGAACGCUGGCGGCGUGCUUAACACAUGCAAGUCGAACGGAAAGGCCCUGCUUUUGUGGGGUGCUCGAGUGGCGAACGGGUGAGUAACACGUGAGUAACCUGCCCUUGACUUUGGGAUAACUUCAGGAAACUGGGGCUAAUACCGGAUAGGAGCUCCUGCUGCAUGGUGGGGGUUGGAAAGUUUCGGCGGUUGGGGAUGGACUCGCGGCUUAUCAGCUUGUUGGUGGGGUAGUGGCUUACCAAGGCUUUGACGGGUAGCCGGCCUGAGAGGGUGACCGGCGAAAUUGGGACUGAGAUACGGCACAGACUCCUACGGGAGGCAGCAGUGGGGAAUAUUGCACAAUGGGCGGAAGCCUGAUGCAGAAACGCCGCGUGCGGGAUGACGGCCUUCGGGUUGUAAACCGCUUUCGCCUGUGACGAAGCGUGAGUGACGGUAAUGGGUAAAGAAGCACCGGAUAACUACGUG